CCACAGAAAUAUCUGAUUUCAAAGAGAUGCUCGCAUUCUAUACUGAUCCCAUCUAGGAGUGUAAAUGCCCAAUGUCACGCUGCCGAGUGGAAAAAGGUAAAGCAAGAAGGCAUCCAUCUACAAUCCAGGAAGAGGACUAUCACCAGAACUCCAUGCUGCUGACACCUUGAUCUUGGACUUCCAGCCUCCAGAACUGGCUGAAAGGCCACACACGGUCUCUGAAGUAAGUAACACAGGGUGGAUAACAUUGAAAUACUGGAGGACAACAUCAC
Leptonychotes weddellii (Weddell seal) is the source of this 272-nucleotide non-coding RNA. Lineage: Eukaryota; Metazoa; Chordata; Mammalia; Carnivora; Phocidae. The record is from RefSeq and is a predicted model, not a curated record.